ACAUGCCUACAACAUAGCAUUAAUGCAUAGGAUCCCAUUAGAACUCUGCAGUUAAGCAUGCUUGGGCUAGAGUAGUAUUGGGAUGGGUGACUGCCGGGGAAAUCCUAGUAUUUUACAUGCC
Molecule: non-coding RNA, 121 nt
Organism: Picea glauca (white spruce)
Lineage: Eukaryota; Viridiplantae; Streptophyta; Pinopsida; Pinales; Pinaceae
Source: Rfam